RNAcentral lists this ribosomal RNA (249 nucleotides) under uncultured bacterium. RNAcentral describes it as "partial 16S ribosomal RNA". It matches the Rfam family "Bacterial small subunit ribosomal RNA", at positions 524 to 776 of the family's 1533-position model. The record is from RNAcentral.
GACGGGGGGGGCAAGUGUUCUUCGGAAUGACUGGGCGUCAAGGGCACGUAGGCGGUGAAUCGGGUUGAAAGUGAAAGUCGCCAAAAAGUGGCGGAAUGCUCUCGAAACCAAUUCACUUGAGUGGGACAGGAGAGUGGAAUUUCGUGUGUAGGGGUGAAAUCCGUAGAUCUACGAAGGAAGGCCAAAAGCGAAGGCAGCUCUCUGGGUCCCUACCGACGCUGGGGUGCGAAAGCAUGGGGAGCGAACAGG